CAAAGUGGAGGCAUGAGAUAUGGAUUACGACCUGCACCUGCAGGAAGAAAAUGAUCAAGGAAACAGAAUUCCUUUGUCAACCCGGCAAAAGAGUAACAGAGAGAGAGAGAGCGAGUUUCAACCAACUGAAGGGAAAGGUGCUGAAGGGGCAAUUGUAGUUAGGAAUUGGAGGUAAAGUGAAGGAAUAAAGUGCUUCUUUGAACGAAGUUGUCUGAAAAGAUGAUUUUGUGGAAGCAGACAAGAGAAGGUAUCAGAAGGUGCUGUUUCACUUUCUGACAUCUUUCAAACUGAUGUUGAAGGAGAAGGAAAGAUGAAGAAACUGUACUAAUUACCCUGGGAUGAAAACCCUGUGUCAUGGAUUGGCAGUUUGGAAUUCCUGGCAGAGGAAUUCCCUUCCCAUGGUUCUGUUGUCACUGACAUUUAUCUUUCAUUGGGCGUCACCCUCUCUGCUCCUCCUGUCAUCAUCAUCCAACAUCAUUGGGGUCCUGGCAAUGUGCUCCUUUUUCUGCUGCCACUGGUGCCUUUGCUUUUGUGGCCUUCACCUCCAAAUGCCAACUACAAGUUUGCUGGCGACACCACCAUGCUAGAACGGAUGUCAAACAAUGAUGAGACAAAAUGCAGAAGGGAAAUUGAGGACUUGGUGUCAUGGUGUAAUGACAAUAAUGUGUCUCUCAAUCUCAUAAAACAAAAAAACUGAUCCUUGACUUCAGAAAGAAAGGAGGAGGACACACCCCCAUCUACAUCAGUGGAGUGGAGGUUGAAAGGGUUGAGAGUGGCAAUUUUCUCGGAGUGACGAUAAACAACAACCUGUCCUGGACUUCCCACGUAAAUGCGAUGGUAAAGAAUGUACAAUAAUACCCCUUCUUCAGGCGGCUUAAGAAAUUUGGCAUAUCCAUAAGGACACUCAUCACCUUUUACAGAUGCAUCAUAGAAACCAUGUGUAAUGGCCUGGUACAGCAACUGCUCUGUCCAGGAUGGUAAGAAACCACAGUAGGUUGUGUGCACAGCCCAGACCAUCAUGGAAGCCACCCUUCCAUCCAUGGACUCCAUUCAUGCUUCUUGUUGCCACGAAAAGACGGCCAACAUCAAUAAGAGCCCUCCCAUCCCAGUAGUGCUGUUUUAUAACCUCUUCCAUCAGGCAGAAGAUACAGAAGCUUGAACACACGCACCAACAAGUUCAAGAACAGUUUCUUCCCUGCUGUUAUUAGACCAAUGAAUGGACUCUCUAACUUCAAAUAAUGUUGAUCUUGCUUUGCACGCUUCCUGUGCAGUGUGACCUAUUGCUUCACACUGUCUAAACAGCCUAGGAUCUGUAUGUCCUUGCUUAUUAUGACCUGCUAGUACUUCUUGCAAACAAAACUUUUCAAUGUACUUAGGUACACGUGACUAAAACAAAUCAAAUCAAACUGGGUCCUGCAGCCUUCUCCAAUGUUGGCCAUUGACUGACAGGUCCUAGCUCCAACUCAGCCGAUGAGGUCCCUGGAUCAUCUUUUGAUUCCACCGCCCAAGAUGGAGUAGAGUUGGAGAUACACGGGACCCCAGCCUCCUGCAGGAGGACAUCAGGAGGAGGCUCCAGGGAAACCAAAACAAACAAAAAGGUUACUGAACUGGAAGGACAUAGAUGAAGCCACGGAAAGACAAUUCAGAAGGUCAGGAGGAAUGGGAUACAGGGGAACUUAGCUGCUUGGAUACAGAAUUGGCUGGCCAACAGAAGACAGCGAGUGGUAGUAGAAGGAAAAUAUUCUGCCUGGAAGUCAGUGAGCAACACUAUCUCUAGACACCUUGCAAUAGAAAAGUUGUCAAAAAUGACUUUACAAUUUGAAUGCUGGCCCUUUAAGGAACACUUGUACAGUGCCCAUCUUACACUCUCAUGCCGGAUCAUCAAAUGAAUACAAAUACAGGAUGUGAGAUAAUGGGAACUGCAGAUGCUGGAGAAUCCAAGAUAACAAAGUGUGAGGCUGGAUGAACACAGCAGGCCAAUCAGCAUCUCAAGAGCACAAAAGCUGACGUUUCGGGCCUAGACCUUUCAUCAGAAAAAUUUGAAAAAUGGGUAUCACAUCAAGUAGUUGAUCUAAGUGACAUGAGGAUAGUGCGGAUUCAAUCCCCCCGGACCAUGCAGGGAAUUUGAAUUUGAAUUUGAGUUUGAUUGAUUUAUUGAUACUUGCAUUUUGCAGUGAACAAUGCAGUAAAAUACAGUGAAAUGCUUGAAUAGCCGUCAU
Long non-coding RNA from Stegostoma tigrinum, 2219 nucleotides. RefSeq lists it as uncharacterized. The transcript has 6 exons. The record is from RefSeq and is a predicted model, not a curated record. NCBI's taxonomy places the organism in Eukaryota, Metazoa, Chordata, Chondrichthyes, Orectolobiformes, Stegostomatidae.